This 148-nucleotide non-coding RNA is filed under the name Gorilla gorilla gorilla (western lowland gorilla). Lineage: Eukaryota; Metazoa; Chordata; Mammalia; Primates; Hominidae. The record is from Rfam by way of RNAcentral.
GCCAGGCGUGGUGGUGCGUACCUGUAGUCCCAGCUACUCAGGAGGCUGAGGCAGGAGGAUUUCUUGAGCCCAGGAGGUCAAGGCUGCAGUGAGCUAUGAUUGUGCCACUGCACUCCAGCCUGGGCGACAGAGUGAGACCCUAUCUCAA